UACAGGACGAACGCUGGCGGCGUAGCCUAACACAUGCAAGUCGAACGGAGAGCAUAUGAAGUAUUUCGGUACGGAAUGCGUUCGUAGUGGCGAACGGGUGAGUAACACGUGGGCAACCUGCCCCAGACUGGGGGAUAACAUUGUGAAAACAGUGCUAAUACCGCAUGACAGGGUUCCGGGCAUCCGGGACUCUUGAAAGGAGAAAUCCGGUCAGGGAUGGGCCCGCGUCCAAUUAGCUAGUUGUGGGGUAACGGCCCACCAAGGCGACGAUUGGUAGCCGAACUGAGAGGUUGAUCGGCCACAUUGGGACUGAGACACGGCCCAGACUCCUACGGGAGGCAGCAGUGGGGAAUAUUGGGCAAUGGGCGAAAGCCCUGACCCAGCGACGCCGCGUGAAGGAUGAAGGUCUUCGGAUUGUAAACUUCUUUGAUCAGGGAAGAAAGAAAUGACGGUACCUGAAAAACAAGCCACGGCUAACUACGUGCCAGCAGCCGC
This 495-nucleotide ribosomal RNA is filed under the name uncultured bacterium. Its description in RNAcentral is "bacterial SSU rRNA". It matches the Rfam family "Bacterial small subunit ribosomal RNA", at positions 23 to 518 of the family's 1533-position model. The record is from RNAcentral.